UCCAGAGAUGGAUUGGUGCCUUCGGGAACUGUGAGACAGGUGCUGCAUGGCUGUCGUCAGCUCGUGUUGUGAAAUGUUGGGUUAAGUCCCGCAACGAGCGCAACCCUUAUCCUUUGUUGCCAGCGAUUAGGUCGGGAACUCAAAGGAGACUGCCAGUGAUAAACUGGAGGAAGGUGGGGAUGACGUCAAGUCAUCAUGGCCCUUACGACCAGGGCUACACACGUGCUACAAUGGCGCAUACAAAGAGAAGCGACCUCGCGAGAGCAAGCGGACCUCAUAAAGUGCGUCGUAGUCCGGAUUGGAGUCUGCAACUCGACUCCAUGAAGUCGGAAUCGCUAGUAAUCGUGGAUCAGAAUGCCACGGUGAAUACGUUCCCGGGCCUUGUACACACCGCCCGUCACACCAUGGGAGUGGGUUGCAAAAGAAGUAGGUAGCUUAACCUUCGGGAGGGCGCUUACCACUUUGUGAUUCAUGACUGGGGUGAAGUCGUAACAAGGUAACCGUAGGGGAACCUGCGGUUGGAUCACCUCCUUA
Molecule: ribosomal RNA, 534 nt
Filed under: Salmonella enterica
Lineage: Bacteria; Pseudomonadati; Pseudomonadota; Gammaproteobacteria; Enterobacterales; Enterobacteriaceae
Also listed under: 6 other names
Description: partial 16S ribosomal RNA
Rfam family: Bacterial small subunit ribosomal RNA
Source: RNAcentral